This 373-nucleotide ribosomal RNA is filed under the name uncultured organism. Its description in RNAcentral is "partial 16S ribosomal RNA". It matches the Rfam family "Bacterial small subunit ribosomal RNA", at positions 527 to 896 of the family's 1533-position model. The record is from RNAcentral.
GUAGGUGGCAAGCGUUGUCCGGAAUUAUUGGGCGUAAAGCGCGCGCAGGGCGGUCCUUUAAGUCUGAUGUGAAAGCCCACGGCUCAACCGUGGAGGGUCAUUGGAAACUGGGGGACUUGAGUACAGAAGAGGAAAGCGGAAUUCCAAGUGUAGCGGUGAAAUGCGUAGAGAUUUGGAGGAACACCAGUGGCGAAGGCGGCUUUCUGGUCUGUAACUGACGCUGGGGCGCGAAAGCGUGGGGAGCAAACAGGAUUAGAUACCCUGGUAGUCCACGCCGUAAACGAUGAGUGCUAAGUGUUAGGGGGUUUCCGCCCCUUAGUGCUGCAGCUAACGCAUUAAGCACUCCGCCUGGGGAGUACGGCCGCAAAGGCUG